RNAcentral lists this ribosomal RNA (686 nucleotides) under Bacillus sp. FJAT-4327. RNAcentral's name for it is "bacterial SSU rRNA". It matches the Rfam family "Bacterial small subunit ribosomal RNA", at positions 60 to 726 of the family's 1533-position model. The record is from RNAcentral. Lineage: Bacteria; Bacillati; Bacillota; Bacilli; Caryophanales; Bacillaceae.
AGUCGAGCGAAUGGAUUAAGAGCUUGCUCUUAUGAAGUUAGCGGCGGACGGGUGAGUAACACGUGGGUAACCUGCCCAUAAGACUGGGAUAACUCCGGGAAACCGGGGCUAAUACCGGAUAACAUUUUGAACUGCAUGGUUCGAAAUUGAAAGGCGGCUUCGGCUGUCACUUAUGGAUGGACCCGCGUCGCAUUAGCUAGUUGGUGAGGUAACGGCUCACCAAGGCAACGAUGCGUAGCCGACCUGAGAGGGUGAUCGGCCACACUGGGACUGAGACACGGCCCAGACUCCUACGGGAGGCAGCAGUAGGGAAUCUUCCGCAAUGGACGAAAGUCUGACGGAGCAACGCCGCGUGAGUGAUGAAGGCUUUCGGGUCGUAAAACUCUGUUGUUAGGGAAGAACAAGUGCUAGUUGAAUAAGCUGGCACCUUGACGGUACCUAACCAGAAAGCCACGGCUAACUACGUGCCAGCAGCCGCGGUAAUACGUAGGUGGCAAGCGUUAUCCGGAAUUAUUGGGCGUAAAGCGCGCGCAGGUGGUUUCUUAAGUCUGAUGUGAAAGCCCACGGCUCAACCGUGGAGGGUCAUUGGAAACUGGGAGACUUGAGUGCAGAAGAGGAAAGUGGAAUUCCAUGUGUAGCGGUGAAAUGCGUAGAGAUAUGGAGGAACACCAGUGGCGAAGGCGACU